This 349-nucleotide unclassified non-coding RNA is filed under the name soil metagenome. RNAcentral's name for it is "partial contains 5.8S ribosomal RNA, internal transcribed spacer 2, and large subunit ribosomal RNA". The stretch from base 1 to 121 matches the Rfam family "5.8S ribosomal RNA", at positions 35 to 154 of the family's 154-position model. The record is from RNAcentral.
GAUGAAGAAACGUAGCGAAAUGCGAUAAGUAAUGUGAAUUGCAGAAUUCAGUGAAUCAUCGAAUCUUUGAACGCACAUUGCGCCCGCCAGUAUUCUGGCGGGCAUGCCUGUCUGAGCGUCAUUUCAACCCUCAUGCCCCUAGGGCGUGGUGUUGGGGAUCGGCCAAAGCCCGCGAGGGACGGCCGGCCCCUAAAUCUAGUGGCGGACCCGUCGUGGCCUCCUCUGCGAAGUAGUGAUAUUCCGCAUCGGAGAGCGACGAGCCCCUGCCGUUAAACCCCCAACUUUCCAAGGUUGACCUCAGAUCAGGUAGGAAUACCCGCUGAACUUAAGCAUAUCAAUAAGCGGAGGA